RNAcentral lists this unclassified non-coding RNA (240 nucleotides) under soil metagenome. RNAcentral describes it as "partial contains 5.8S ribosomal RNA, internal transcribed spacer 2, and large subunit ribosomal RNA". The record is from RNAcentral.
AACGGUCUAUACCUGCGGUACCUGCGGAGGGAUCAUUACAGAGUUGCAAAACUCCCAAACCAUUGUGAACGUUACCUUCUCGUUGCUUCGGCGGGCGGCCCGGGUCCUUCCCGGCGCCCCCCGGCCCCUCGCGGGCGCCCGCCGGAGGUAAACCAAACUCUUGAAUUGUAUGGCCUCUCUGAGUCUUCUGUACUGAAUAAGUCAAAACUUUCAACAACGGAUCUCUAGAUCGGAAGAGCA